GAGAAUCGCAUUUAAUGGAAAAUAUAGCCAUGGAAAUGGAGGAAAAGACCAAAGAAUUCAAUCAAGGAAGUCGGCCAUAAGCCUACAGUUGGAGAUGAAAGGAAACACGCUUUUAGAGAAAGUGAAGAUGAGAAGGAAAAAGUGAAAAUGGAGGAAGGCGUUAAAGGGCUUCCUCAUGAACAGGUUCCACCACCCAGUGAUUUCAACACAGAAGAACUCGAGAAGCUUUAAAUAUUUUCUAUUUUAAUUCCUGCUUUUUUAUAUCUGUUUACUUUCUUAUGUAAAUUAGGACAACUUUCGACCAUUUGGUUCGUGUUUAAAAGCAACUUUUUUUCAUGAUUUCAAUUUUCAAUCAUCUACUUUUGUAACAUUUAAUUUCAAAUAGAUUGAAAGAGGGGAAGAGGGAUUGACA
This 412-nucleotide long non-coding RNA is filed under the name Olea europaea (common olive). RNAcentral's name for it is "long non-coding RNA (OEUR_LNC011769)". The record is from RNAcentral. Lineage: Eukaryota; Viridiplantae; Streptophyta; Magnoliopsida; Lamiales; Oleaceae.